RNAcentral lists this long non-coding RNA (991 nucleotides) under Cairina moschata (Muscovy duck). RNAcentral's name for it is "domestica (muscovy Duck (domestic type)) lncRNA (ENSCMMG00000006882.1)". Lineage: Eukaryota; Metazoa; Chordata; Aves; Anseriformes; Anatidae. The record is from RNAcentral.
GGAGAAUGCAAAGAAGAUGGAAGGGGGGCUGGAGCCUGGGGAGGCAAACUGUGUGACAACAGCCAUCAAAUGAAGGAAAGAGAAACAGCGAAGGUAAAGAAAGAAAGAGCAAACAGGGUGCUCUCCACUUUACAGAAGAAGGCACACUUGCUCAAUUGUUCUUUCACUUCCCAUAGGAUGAUGAACAGGGAAUAUGGUGCCAAUGAAAUAAUAAAUGGAUACAACAUGUCUGGAGAUCUUCCGGAGCAAGGUUGUGUAACACUGAGAAAUAUUAUUGGUUUACAUUUACAUUCCCAGAAUUUCUGAAAUGGUUAUUUGGUCUUCAGUGCAUCUACUGAUGAAGACUGAAGUAUGAACUGUGUUAUCGGUGGUUCCACACACUCUUAUUUUGUGGAAAGACUUGCACUUCAUUUGAAAACAAACAGUACAAACCCAAAAUAAAAUAAAAAAAAAUACACUCCCCAAAAUACCAAGACAACUGCAGCAGCACCUGCACUAACCAUUGUGCACAGGUCCCUCAGAGCUAAGCAUUCAUUGGAGCCAUGGCUUAUUUUUACCAACUCUCAGCUACUGUGGUUACAACAGUAUUCAGACUGAUUGUCAUUCACUGAAUUAUCAGACACUGCCUGUGUUGAAACUGCUGUUCAGGAAGGCUUACAGAAACAGAGCAUUGUAUGACACUAGGUACAGGUCCUUACAUGUCCAAGAAGAUGGAGAGGAACACUCAGCCUUCACAAGACAGUGUGGAAUUGACUUAGCUGGGCUUUAUAGCAAUUUUGACUCCCUAGAAGUCAUGAAAGUCAAAUGCGAUGAAGCACCUGAAGAAAUGCUGGAGUAUUUGGUUCAGUCUGGUUCUUUGAAGAAAAUAUAAAUAAAGAUCUACACAGAACAUCUUCUUUGAGGUCCUGCUUCCUUCAGGUUAGCAGUGCUAUCGAGGGUGACCCUUUUCAGGGGGAGAACAUAGCAAUUCUGUUUCUCAGGAGAGGGGACU